RNAcentral lists this ribosomal RNA (207 nucleotides) under Triticum aestivum (bread wheat). RNAcentral describes it as "partial small subunit ribosomal RNA". Lineage: Eukaryota; Viridiplantae; Streptophyta; Magnoliopsida; Poales; Poaceae. The record is from RNAcentral.
AUGAUCCAGUAUGCCCAUAAGAGAAAACUGCCAGUCAUUGCUUUAAAGUUGGACUUUCAUAAGGCCUUUGACAGCGUCAGUUGGUGUUGCUUGCGCAAGAUUUUUGAAGCGAGAGGCUUUCCGCGAGUGUGGACAAACUGGAUACACACACUCCUAUCUACUGGCAGCUCUAGAGUCCUUCUCAACGGCGAGUUGGGUGCCCCCAUC